RNAcentral lists this transfer RNA (94 nucleotides) under Microbacterium oxydans. RNAcentral describes it as "tRNA-Ala". The record is from RNAcentral. Lineage: Bacteria; Bacillati; Actinomycetota; Actinomycetes; Micrococcales; Microbacteriaceae.
UCGGCUCUUCGCGGAGUCGGAGGCGCGGCACGAGGCGGGUGCCACAGCGGCCGAAGAUGCGGUCCGCGACCUGUUCCGUGCACGCGGGGCCGAG